RNAcentral lists this ribosomal RNA (433 nucleotides) under uncultured bacterium. RNAcentral's name for it is "partial 16S ribosomal RNA". It matches the Rfam family "Bacterial small subunit ribosomal RNA", at positions 29 to 507 of the family's 1533-position model. The record is from RNAcentral.
AACGAACGCUGGCGGCAUGCCUAACACAUGCAAGUCGAACGAGACCUUCGGGUCUAGUGGCUCACGGGUGCGUAACGCGUGGGAACCUGCCCUUAGGUUCGGAAUAACUCCCCGAAAGGGGUGCUAAUACCGGAUAAUGUCUUCGGACCAAAGAUUUAUCGCCUUAGGAUGGGCCCGCGUUGGUUUAGCUAGUUGGUAGGGUAAAAGCCUACCAAGGCGGCGAUCCAUAGCUGGUCUGAGAGGAUGAUCAGCCACACUGGGACUGAGACACGGCCCAGACUCCUACGGGAGGCAGCAGUGGGGAAUAUUGGACAAUGGGCGAAAGCCUGAUCCAGCAAUGCCGCGUGAGUGAUGAAGGCCUUAGGGUUGUAAAGCUCGUUUACCCGGGAUGAUAAUGACAGUACCGGGAGAAUAAGCACCGGCUAACUCCGUG